Molecule: ribosomal RNA, 497 nt
Filed under: uncultured bacterium
Lineage: Bacteria
Description: partial 16S ribosomal RNA
Rfam family: Bacterial small subunit ribosomal RNA
Source: RNAcentral
GAUGAACGCUGGCGGCGUGCCUAAUACAUGCAAGUCGAGCGAACAGACGAGGAGUUUGCUCCUCUGACGUUAGCGGCGGACGGGUGAGUAACACGUGGAUAACCUACCUAUAAGACUGGGAUAACUUCGGGAAACCGGAUCUAAUACCGGAUAAUAUAUUGAACCGCAUGGUUCAAUAGUGAAAGACGGUUUUGCUGUCACUUAUAGAUGUAUCCGCGCCGCAUUAGCUAGUUGGUAAGGUAACGGCUUACCAAGGCUACGAUGCGUAGCCGACCUGAGAGGGUGAUCGGCCACACUGGAACUGAGACACGGUCCAGACUCCUACGGGAGGCAGCAGUAGGGAAUCUUCCGCAAUGGGCGAAAGCCUGACGGAGCAACGCCGCGUGAGUGAUGAAGGUCUUCGGAUCGUAAAGCUCUGUUAUUAGGGAAGAAGAAAUGUGUAAGUAACUAUGCACGUCUUGACGGUACCUAAUCAGAAAGCCACGGCUAACUACGUG